This 422-nucleotide ribosomal RNA is filed under the name uncultured archaeon. RNAcentral's name for it is "partial 16S ribosomal RNA". It matches the Rfam family "Archaeal small subunit ribosomal RNA", at positions 323 to 746 of the family's 1478-position model. The record is from RNAcentral.
CUACGGGAGGCUGCAGGCACGGAACCUUUACAAUGCACGCAAGUGUGAUAAGGGAAUUCCAAGUGCUUUGUCAAUGACAAGGCUUUUUUUAAGUGUAAGGAGCUUGAAGAAUAAGUGGUGGGCAAGACUGGUGCCAGCCGCCGCGGUAACACCAGCGCCACAAGUGGUGAUCACAUUUAUUGGGUCUAAAGCGUCCGUAGCCGGUUUAGUAAAUUUCUUGUGAAAUUGUUAGGCUCAACCUAACGGCGUGCAAGAAACACUGCUUUACUUGAGACCGGGAGGAGACAAAGGUAUUCCGGGGGGAGCGGUAAAAUGUUAUAAUCCUCGGAGGACCACCAAUGGCGAAGGCAUUUGUCUAGAACGGUUCUGACGGUGAGGGACGAAAGCUAGGGGAGCAAAAUGGAUUAGAUACCCGCGUAGUC